GCCGGGGUGGUGAAAUAGGUAGACGCAGGGGACUCAAAAUCCCCCGGGCCUUGUGCCCGUGAGAGUUCGAUUCUCUCCUCCGGCA
Molecule: transfer RNA, 85 nt
Filed under: Candidatus Magnetomorum sp.
Lineage: Bacteria; Pseudomonadati; Thermodesulfobacteriota; Desulfobacteria; Desulfobacterales; Candidatus Magnetomoraceae
Description: tRNA-Leu
Rfam family: tRNA
About the family: Transfer RNA (tRNA) molecules are approximately 80 nucleotides in length. Their secondary structure includes four short double-helical elements and three loops (D, anti-codon, and T loops).
Source: RNAcentral